AAGAUACCACAUUAAAACACCGGUUCUUGUGCGAUCGCCGAAGUUAAACAACGUCAAGUCUGCUCAGUACCUAGAUGGGUGACCGCUUCGAAAUGCCAGGUGCUGUAA
Molecule: non-coding RNA, 108 nt
Organism: Acanthosepion pharaonis
Lineage: Eukaryota; Metazoa; Mollusca; Cephalopoda; Sepiida; Sepiidae
Source: the annotation of a GenBank genome assembly